Cavia porcellus (domestic guinea pig) is the source of this 969-nucleotide long non-coding RNA. RefSeq lists it as uncharacterized. The record is from RefSeq and is a predicted model, not a curated record. The transcript is spliced from 3 exons. Lineage: Eukaryota; Metazoa; Chordata; Mammalia; Rodentia; Caviidae.
CUCUGAGACAAGGGAGACAAAGGGCAGGCGAGUUAAACCAGUGCGUGGAGAACUCGGAUGACAAAAGACAGAAAUGGGAAAAUCCAAAUGAAGCCUGUGCGUCAUGUAAAUGAGUGCCAAAUGGAUGUUGGAUCUGACAUGCCACUAGCAUGAAGGGCAACAGCCAGGGCCAUUCAUCUAUCCAACUGGGCAUUCAAUAAAUCUUCAAAGACACCCCCAGGGUACAUACCAGGUAGCAUGAAAAUGGGCCAGACAUCUUUUCAGAGUUGGAACAAUUACAAUGAAGCACUGAACUCUCUACCAGUCUAUUUGGUUUCUUACAAUCUGACACCAGUGAACAUUAGGAGGUCCAGGCAUAAGGGGCAGCUCUAUGAGAUCACAGGACACCCAGGCAGCACAGAAGAAACAAAGAAACUGCAAUGCAGAGCAGACACCUCCGCUUUUCAACCUGGCACAUUCCGUGUGACUGGAAUAGAAGGCUGAGAAAUGAGGCCAGAGAGGACCAGAAAAACAGAAGACAGAGAGAAGGAAAAUUUAUCAAGCCUUAUAGGAACAGGAAGCCCAAGCUGGGACUGGGCCAUACUGGGGGGCAGGAGACACACCCAGGACACACCUGUCAGACUGGACACUGACUUACCUCUUGGCCUCCUCUUUUCCUGGGGUACCUGACUGCUCUUGUUUCACAUCGGUUUUGACUGAUGGCUUCCGGGGUGCUGGGAAAGGAGCCAGGAAACAGGUGGAAGACUUUUCUCCUGAUAGGUGGUACCUCCCACCCCUUGUCUACCAGCAUCACCCCAACCUCAGCAUGACUGCUUGGGACAAUGAGUGUCAAACAGGAGAGGUGUGUUAGACUUCCACGAAGCAUGACAGCCAGAAGGGACCUGUGGUACUCUGGAGAAAGAGCCCACUGUUGGCCUCCUGUCUGUACUAUCUUGGGAGACGAGGAGGGAAAUGACACUCACUGAAGAA